AUUGAACGCUGGCGGCAUGCUUUACACAUGCAAGUCGGACGGCAGCACAGAGAAGCUUGCUUCUUGGGUGGCGAGUGGCGAACGGGUGAGUAACAUAUCGGAACGUACCGAGCAGUGGGGGAUAACUAAUCGAAAGAUUAGCUAAUACCGCAUAUUUUCUGAGGAAGAAAGCAGGGGACCUUUGGGCCUUGCGCUGUUUGAGCGGCCGAUAUCUGAUUAGCUAGUUGGUGGGGUAAAGGCCUACCAAGGCGACGAUCAGUAGCGGGUCUGAGAGGAUGAUCCGCCACACUGGGACUGAGACACGGCCCAGACUCCUACGGGAGGCAGCAGUGGGGAAUUUUGGACAAUGGGCGCAAGCCUGAUCCAGCCAUGCCGCGUGUCUGAAGAAGGCCUUCGGGUUGUAAAGGACUUUUGUCAGGGAAGAAAAGGGCGGGGUUAAUACCCCUGUCUGAUGACGGUACCUGAAGAAUAAGCACCGGCGAACUACGG
RNAcentral lists this ribosomal RNA (489 nucleotides) under uncultured bacterium. RNAcentral's name for it is "partial 16S ribosomal RNA". It matches the Rfam family "Bacterial small subunit ribosomal RNA", at positions 30 to 506 of the family's 1533-position model. The record is from RNAcentral.